This 459-nucleotide ribosomal RNA is filed under the name uncultured bacterium. RNAcentral's name for it is "partial 16S ribosomal RNA". It matches the Rfam family "Bacterial small subunit ribosomal RNA", at positions 338 to 795 of the family's 1533-position model. The record is from RNAcentral.
CCUACGGGUGGCAGCAGUGAGGAAUAUUGGUCAAUGGUCGGGAGACUGAACCAGCCAAGCCGCGUGAGGGAUGAAGGUACAGAGUAUCGUAAACCUCUUUUGUCAGGGAACAAAGGCGGGGACGUGUCCCCGGAUGAGUGUAUCUGAAGAAAAAGCAUCGGCUAACUCCGUGCCAGCAGCCGCGGUAAUACGGAGGAUGCGAGCGUUAUCCGGAUUUAUUGGGUUAAAGGGGUGCGCGGGCGGUCUGUUAAGUCAGCGGUAAAAGCCCGGGGCUCAACCCCGGCCCGCCGUUGAAACUGGCAGUCUCGAGUUGGAGAGAAGUAUGCGGAAGGCGCGGUGUAGCGGUGAAAUGCAUAGAUAUCGCGCAGAACUCCGAUUGCGAAGGCAGCAUGCCGGCUCCACACUGACGCUGAGGCACGAAAGCGUGGGUAUCGAACAGGAUUAGAUACCCGAGUAGUC